CGGGGUGUGGCGCAGUUGGAUAGCGCACUUGCAUGGGGUGCAAGGGGUCGUGUGUUCGAGUCACAUCACCCCGA
RNAcentral lists this transfer RNA (74 nucleotides) under Prevotellaceae bacterium. Its description in RNAcentral is "tRNA-Pro". It matches the Rfam family "tRNA". Rfam says of the family: Transfer RNA (tRNA) molecules are approximately 80 nucleotides in length. Their secondary structure includes four short double-helical elements and three loops (D, anti-codon, and T loops). Lineage: Bacteria; Pseudomonadati; Bacteroidota; Bacteroidia; Bacteroidales; Prevotellaceae. The record is from RNAcentral.